Molecule: RNase MRP RNA, 233 nt
Filed under: Lingulaulax polyedra
Lineage: Eukaryota; Dinophyceae; Gonyaulacales; Lingulodiniaceae
Description: Lingulodinium polyedra partial RNase MRP
Rfam family: RNase MRP
About the family: RNase MRP is an enzymatically active ribonucleoprotein with two distinct roles in eukaryotes.
Source: RNAcentral
AGCACGGCUUCGCAGCUUACAGCCGGGGAGCUUGCUCCCGACAUUUUGCGAGGAAAGUCCCCGUGCCUUGGGGCAGAGAGUGUCGGCGGGAGGCCGCAUGUCCGUCGGGCGGCCGCAGGCGGCGAAGCAUUGCGCCGAGCCUCUUGGCGGUGUGCACGGCGGGCCUUCGCAGCAGCACAGAGAUGCCGUGCGCGCUUUGGUGACGAGGUGCGAACAGAACAGGGCUCACUCUC